GACGAACGCUGGCGGCGUGCUUAACACCUGCAAGUCGAACGAAGUGGCGAACGGGUGAGUAACGCGUAAUCAACCUGCCCUUCAGAGGGGGACACCAGUUGGAAACGACUGCUAAUACCGCAUACUGAAGGAGGGGAUUGCGUCUGAUUAGCUAGUUGGAGGGGUAACGGCCCACCCAGGCGAUGAUCAGUAGCCGGUCUGGGAGGAGGAACGGCCACAUUGGGACUGAGACACGGCCCAGACUCCGACGGGAGGAAGCAGUGGGGAAUCUUCCGCAAUGGACGAAAGUCUGACGGAGCAACGCCGCGUGAGUGAUGACGGCCUUCGGGUUGUAAAGCUCUGUUAAUCGGGACGCGGUACCGGAAUAGAAAGCCACGGCUAACUACGUGCCAGCCGCCGCGGUAAUAC
RNAcentral lists this ribosomal RNA (408 nucleotides) under uncultured bacterium. RNAcentral's name for it is "partial 16S ribosomal RNA". It matches the Rfam family "Bacterial small subunit ribosomal RNA", at positions 28 to 526 of the family's 1533-position model. The record is from RNAcentral.